Molecule: ribosomal RNA, 460 nt
Filed under: uncultured bacterium
Lineage: Bacteria
Description: partial 16S ribosomal RNA
Rfam family: Bacterial small subunit ribosomal RNA
Source: RNAcentral
CCUACGGGUGACAGCAGUGAGGAAUAUUGGUCAAUGGGCGUAAGCCUGAACCAGCCAAGUCGCGUGAGGGAUGAAGGUUCUAUGGAUCGUAAACCUCUUUUAUAAGGGCAUAAAGUGUGGGACGUGUCCUAUUUUGUAUGUCCCUUAUGAAUAAGGAUCGGCUAACUCCGUGCCAGCAGCCGCGGUAAUACGGAGGAUCCGAUCGUUAUCCGGAUUUAUUGGGUUUAAAGGGUGCGUAGGCGGCCUUUUAAGUCAGCGGUGAAAGUCUGUGGCUCAACCAUAGAAUUGCCGUUGAAACUGGGGGGCUUGAGUAUGUGUGAGGCAGUCGGAAUGCGUGGUGUAGCGGUGAAAUGCGUAGAUAUCACGCAGAACCCCGAUUGCGAAGGCAGACUGCCAGGCCAUGACUGACGCUGAUGCACGAAAGCGUGGGGAUCAAACAGGAUUAGAUACCCUGGUAGUC